GAUGAACGCUGACGGCGUGCCUAAUACAUGCAAGUCGAGCGAACAGACGAGGAGCUUGCUCCUCUGACGUUAGCGGCGGACGGGUGAGUAACACGUGGAUAACCUACCUAUAAGACUGGGAUAACUUCGGGAAACCGGAGCUAAUACCGGAUAAUAUAUUGAACCGCAUGGUUCAAUAGUGAAAGACGGUUUUGCUGUCACUUAUAGAUGGAUCCGCGCCGCAUUAGCUAGUUGGUAAGGUAACGGCUUACCAAGGCAACGAUGCGUAGCCGACCUGAGAGGGUGAUCGGCCACACUGGAACUGAGACACGGUCCAGACUCCUACGGGAGGCAGCAGUAGGGAAUCUUCCGCAAAGGGCGAAAGCCUGACGGAGCAACGCCGCGUGAGUGAUGAAGGUCUUCGGAUCGUAAAACUCUGUUAUUAGGGAAGAACAAAUGUGUAAGUAACUAUGCACGUCUUGACGGUACCUAAUCAGGAAGCCACGGCUAACUACGUG
Molecule: ribosomal RNA, 497 nt
Filed under: uncultured bacterium
Lineage: Bacteria
Description: partial 16S ribosomal RNA
Rfam family: Bacterial small subunit ribosomal RNA
Source: RNAcentral